AAAAAACAAAAAAACAAAAAAAAAAAACAUACCUUCUCAGUCAUUUUUCUGAACUGCCUAAGUUCUUGUAUGACUUAUUGGGAACCCUUUUAGAUUACUUUUCUUAAGUUAAGUGUCUUGUCUGUUGAGUGGUCCCAGGUUGAAAAAUAAAAAGAAAGAAAGCCACUGUUUGAAUGACUGAGGUGCUUUUAACACUUGAAAAAAUAGCAACUUGCAGACAGAGAAAUGUGGAAAUAUAUCCUUUCAUAGCUGAUGUAUCUCUGGCCUGAUACAGUUGUUUUCUGUUUAACAUUCCAGUGCUUUAAGGCAUUACAAAUGUUCCCAGCUACCAGCUUCAGCCUUUGCCCCAGCAUCUCAGUUGCAGGAGGUGCAGGCUGACGAUGGACCUGGACAUGCAAAGACUCCAAUGCCCCAGCAGCAGUCCCCUCUUUUAGCCUGGUGAAUGCCAGGUUUUUGGAUGCUUACCACACAGUUCAGGCUGUGAUAAGGAUUAUUUUUUUUUUCUCCUGACUUUUGGAAGGAGUAUGACAAACGAAUCCUUGACUUCUGUUUGCCGUGACUCUGUGCUGAGGCUGUUGAAUCACGCUAGUACCAUUCUCUGCUCUACAGCACUUCAAGGCAUAGCAGAAGUCAACAUUGAUCUUCAGAUACACGGGCAGAUCACACUUCUGUAG
This 674-nucleotide long non-coding RNA is filed under the name Anser brachyrhynchus (Pink-footed goose). Its description in RNAcentral is "lncRNA (ENSABRG00000010583.1)". Lineage: Eukaryota; Metazoa; Chordata; Aves; Anseriformes; Anatidae. The record is from RNAcentral.